This 21-nucleotide non-coding RNA is filed under the name Caenorhabditis elegans. The record is from RNAcentral. Lineage: Eukaryota; Metazoa; Nematoda; Chromadorea; Rhabditida; Rhabditidae.
UCUAGCAUUUGUAUCAGUCAU